This 73-nucleotide transfer RNA is filed under the name Amblyomma marmoreum. Its description in RNAcentral is "tRNA-Phe". The stretch from base 1 to 59 matches the Rfam family "tRNA". Rfam says of the family: Transfer RNA (tRNA) molecules are approximately 80 nucleotides in length. Lineage: Eukaryota; Metazoa; Arthropoda; Arachnida; Ixodida; Ixodidae. The record is from RNAcentral.
AUCUUUAUAGUUUAGUCAAAACAUUACACUGAAAAUGUAAAAACAUUUUUUUAAAGAUAAUUAACUUUUAGUG